RNAcentral lists this non-coding RNA (24 nucleotides) under Arabidopsis thaliana (thale cress). The record is from RNAcentral. Lineage: Eukaryota; Viridiplantae; Streptophyta; Magnoliopsida; Brassicales; Brassicaceae.
AGGAUACAUUGGCUCCGAUUGGUA